CCCCUUUUCUUGGUGCGGCUGCCCCACUAUAUUCGCUUCGUCGGCUUGACCGACUAUGGCGAUAAACUGACGGUGUAAUAAACCAUUCGGACCCGGGGGCAGUGCCCGGCGCCUCCACCAGAAACCGCCCGGGGCAAUCAGCCCGCAGACGGCUUCUGAUGGGGGCGAAACAGGAUCGACGAGGGUGUAAAGAUCGGACUUUCGCUCGGCAUGAUACCACCGUUAUCGGGUCAAACCAGUAGUUGCAAACGACAACUAUGCGGAGGCACGUCUCGCUGCUUAAUGCGGUGCGACAGCUUCACUUAAACUCCUGAGGGUUCGCACUUUCAGGCGGGGUUCGAAGGCACCUGGCAACAGAAGCCUUCACU
This is a non-coding RNA of Nitratireductor aquibiodomus RA22, 368 nucleotides long. NCBI's taxonomy places the organism in Bacteria, Pseudomonadati, Pseudomonadota, Alphaproteobacteria, Hyphomicrobiales, Phyllobacteriaceae. The record is from Rfam.